GUCUGGUGGGGGACUAGGGGGAGGCCAGAGGGGACAGGUCCCCUGGCCACAACAGGAAAUGAAUCACUGAACCGGCUGGUCACCAGUUUGGAAACUGCUGUUGCUACCACCACCACCCCGCACCCGCACCCACACCCAUAUCCACACACGAGCGCGCGCCCACGCAUACACAUACACACACGCACACACGCACACACGCACACGGGCUUCAAGCAGGACACGCCCUCCGCUCCAGCUCAGGUCAGAACGCAGGCUUCGCUGUUAGCCCAGUUACCCCGGCCCCCGGGGUGUGGCCGCCCACCUGCCAGCAGGGAGUCUCCGCCCGACGGGGAAGGGACACCCCCGCCGCCGCCACCCACCGCCCGGGCCAGGUGCCCAGCUCCCAGCGACGGCAGCGCCUGGACCGCCGCCCCCACCCCUUCCUCCCGGCAGUGCGAAGACAAAGCCGCGCACACGCACACGGGGGGCUACACGGGGCUACGCGGGCGCAUACCCGCCCUCACACGCGCACACACGGGUGUCACACUGGCGCGCACACAGCGACACACACACACACACACACCCGCCACAGGCUCCAGCCACAAGCGAAGCCACUGGCACACGCCCUCACCCAGAGGUGUACACACUGCUACACAUUCGGACACACCCUCUCACAGACACAUUCAUCGACAGACACACGCAGACACACGCACCCUCACCCAGAUACGCACGCACCACUCAGUCCAGACGCGCGAAGACACGCAAGACACACACCCUCACACACGCACACACAGAUGCACACACGCACGCGCGCGCACACCCAGCAGCCGCUCGCACGGAUCCACGGGCACACGCGCGCUCACACCUAACACACACCCAGAGACUGGAGCCCCGACACACAAACCCGCGCCAGUCCCGACACGCACGAACCGAAGCCCGCGGGUCCCGGAGCCGGCCCGCCGGCCUGUCAGUGCCCGAAGAUCGGGGAUCGAGCCCGCCGCCCUUGGCGGCCACCCCACACGCACACGAGGGACCCGACGCGUCGGGGUCCCCGAGACGCGGAGGGGGACGGCGGGCACGGCUAACCUGGCGGCGGCGGCGCAGCUUCCGGGCUCUGUCUGGCUGGCGGUUCUGGAGUCCGGCGGGUGCCCCGGCGGGCUCCGAGGCGCGCUAGAGCUGCGCAGAAAUGCCCCGCUCGCUCGCGCGCUCGCUCCUGCUCUCCCUCCCACGGCGCUCAGCCCCCUCCUCGCCCGCCCCCCACACCUCCUCUCCCUGCUCCGCCCCGCCCCGGCCGGCUCCCCCGAAGGAGGCGGCGGCGAUCCCGGCCCCCGAAGCAGCAGCGGGCGGGCGAGCGAAAGAGCAAGCAGCGGCGGCGAGCAGCCAACACCAGGGGAGCGCCGGAGCCGCCGGAGCUGUGGCCGCGCGCCGGUCCCGGGGAGGGCAGCAGAGGAAGGGGCUGAGCCUCGCGAACCCUCCCGGCGCUGGGGGCUCGCCGCCGGCUUCCCCACGUGGGCCCGGCGUGAACCUGAGCCGCGGCGGGGCUCAGAGGCCCGGCGAAGAAGAGGAGCAGACCCCACCCGGGGCCCCCACCUCCUCCCGGGUUCCCGCCAGCGCCGACCUCCGUUUUCACUGGCUUAG
Long non-coding RNA from Papio anubis (olive baboon), 1617 nucleotides. NCBI's taxonomy places the organism in Eukaryota, Metazoa, Chordata, Mammalia, Primates, Cercopithecidae. The record is from Ensembl.